UAUCAAAGGUGAGCCAGUACAGGAUGGACCAGCGUCUGAUUAGCUAGUUGGUAAGGUAACGGCUUACCAAGGCGACGAUCAGUAGCCGACCUGAGAGGGUGAUCGGCCACAUUGGAACUGAGACACGGUCCAAACUCCUACGGGAGGCAGCAGUGGGGAAUAUUGCACAAUGGGCGAAAGCCUGAUGCAGCAACGCCGCGUGAGUGAUGAAGGCCUUCGGGUCGUAUAACUCUGUCCUCAAGGAAGAUAAUGACGGUACUUGAGGAGGAAGCCCCGGCUAACUACGUGCCAGCAGCCGCGGUAAUACGUAGGGGGCUGGCGUUAUCCGGAUUUACUGGGCGUAAAGGGUGCGUAGGCGGUCUUUCAAGUCAGGAGUGAAAGGCUACGGCUCAACCGUAGUAAGCUCUUGAAACUGGGAGACUUGAGUGCAGGAGAGGAGAGUGGAAUUCCUAGUGUAGCGGUGAAAUGCGUAGAUAUUAGGAGGAACACCAGAUGCGAAGGCGGCUCUCUGGACUGUAACUGACGCUGAGGCACGAAAGCCUGGGGAGCAAACAGGAUUAGAUACCCUGGUAGUCCACGCUGUAAACGAUGAGUACUAGGUGUCGGGGGUUACCCCCUUCGGUGACGCAGCUAACGCAUU
Molecule: ribosomal RNA, 640 nt
Filed under: Clostridioides difficile
Lineage: Bacteria; Bacillati; Bacillota; Clostridia; Peptostreptococcales; Peptostreptococcaceae
Description: bacterial SSU rRNA
Rfam family: Bacterial small subunit ribosomal RNA
Source: RNAcentral